Molecule: ribosomal RNA, 364 nt
Filed under: Mesorhizobium sp.
Lineage: Bacteria; Pseudomonadati; Pseudomonadota; Alphaproteobacteria; Hyphomicrobiales; Phyllobacteriaceae
Description: bacterial SSU rRNA
Rfam family: Bacterial small subunit ribosomal RNA
Source: RNAcentral
GUCGUCAGCUCGUGUCGUGAGAUGUUGGGUUAAGUCCCGUAACGAGCGCAACCCUUGUCCUUAGUUACCAGCACGUUAUGGUGGGCACUCUAAGGAGACUGCCGGUGACAAACCGGAGGAAGGUGGGGAUGACGUCAAGUCAUCAUGGCCCUUACGACCAGGGCUACACACGUACUACAAUGGUCAGUACAAAGGGUUGCCAAGCCGCGAGGUGGAGCUAAUCCCAUAAAACCGAUCGUAGUCCGGAUCGCAGUCUGCAACUCGACUGCGUGAAGUCGGAAUCGCUAGUAAUCGCGAAUCAGAAUGUCGCGGUGAAUACGUUCCCGGGCCUUGUACACACCGCCCGUCACACCAUGGGAGUGGG